This 319-nucleotide ribosomal RNA is filed under the name Euphrosine foliosa. RNAcentral's name for it is "partial 16S ribosomal RNA". The stretch from base 50 to 319 matches the Rfam family "Bacterial large subunit ribosomal RNA", at positions 2048 to 2535 of the family's 2925-position model. The record is from RNAcentral. Lineage: Eukaryota; Metazoa; Annelida; Polychaeta; Eunicida; Euphrosinidae.
CGAACUAACGUGAGCUUAUCUGUCUCCUUUAUGCCUAAAUAACUUAACCUUUACGUGAAAAGGCGUAAAUAAAAUUAAUAGACAAGAAGACCCUGUCGAGCUUAAUUGUACUUUCUACCUAAGGAAUUUUUCACCCUUAUUAAACAACACUCAAUUUAGUUGGGGCAACAGAGGAACAUUCAAACCUUCCUCUCCAAACGAUAUACUCAUCUAAACUCUCCAAUUUAUUUGAAUUUAAAAUUAAAGCUACCGCAGGGAUAACAGGUUAAUUUUUCUCAAGAGUACACAUUAACAGAAAAGUUUGGCACCUCGAUGUUGG